Molecule: non-coding RNA, 162 nt
Organism: Exophiala xenobiotica
Lineage: Eukaryota; Fungi; Ascomycota; Eurotiomycetes; Chaetothyriales; Herpotrichiellaceae
Source: the annotation of a RefSeq genome assembly
GGGGGAUUGGCGCAAUGGUAGCGCGUGGUUCGUCCACCUGCUCUUCUUGUUUAUAAGCUAGCUCUAAUCAUCUCAUCAGGCUCUCCUACUUGAUCAAAAUCCUACAUGAUGAGAGAUCUCGUCGUGAAGCCAAGGUUGAGGGUUCGAGUCCCUUGUUCCUCG